GAUUAAAAGCAGGACUCCCGGGGCUUCCCACUCCCAGAGAGCCUGGGAGUAGCAGGGGGUCCAUCGGACACAGUUCCCCAGCAACGAGGGGGGCUUCCCACCUGGGUUCCCCCCAGUGGAUGUGAAGAGAUGGAAACUGGAGCUGAGAG
Long non-coding RNA from Dermochelys coriacea (leatherback sea turtle), 149 nucleotides. RefSeq lists it as uncharacterized. Lineage: Eukaryota; Metazoa; Chordata; Testudines; Dermochelyidae. The record is from RefSeq and is a predicted model, not a curated record. The transcript has 3 exons.